Molecule: ribosomal RNA, 503 nt
Filed under: uncultured bacterium
Lineage: Bacteria
Description: bacterial SSU rRNA
Rfam family: Bacterial small subunit ribosomal RNA
Source: RNAcentral
UGAACGCUGGCGGCAGGCCUAACACAUGCAAGUCGAACGGUAACAGGCUGUAUGGGAUCCCUUCGGGGUGAACUUGGCGCUGACGAGUGGCGAACGGGUGAGUAACACGUAGGAAUCUACCCAGGAGUGGGGGACAACCCGGAGAAAUCCGGGCUAAUACCGCAUACGCCCUACGGGGUAAAGUGGGGGACCUUUUCGAAGGCCUCACGCUUCUGGAUGAGCCUGCGUCGGAUUAGCUUGUUGGUGAGGUAAUGGCUCACCAAGGCGACGAUCCGUAGCUGGUCUGAGAGGAUGACCAGUCACACUGGGACUGAGACACGGCCCAGACUCCUACGGGAGGCAGCAGUGGGGAAUAUUGGACAAUGGGGGCAACCCUGAUCCAGCCAUGCCGCGUGUGUGAAGAAGGCCCUAGGGUUGUAAAGCACUUUCAGUGGGGAAGAAAAGCCUAAGGUUAAUAACCUUGGGUCUUGACGGUACCCACAGAAGAAGCACCGGCUAAUUCC